UUACCUCAAAUUUGUAUGGAGUUGGAACGUUGGAACUUUCGCCUACGUUUGCCGCUAGGGGCGCUGUUCCAGUUGCAUAUAAAUUAUAGUUA
This 92-nucleotide microRNA precursor is filed under the name Bombyx mori (domestic silkworm). RNAcentral's name for it is "mir-2807 microRNA precursor family". It matches the Rfam family "mir-2807 microRNA precursor family". The record is from Rfam by way of RNAcentral. Lineage: Eukaryota; Metazoa; Arthropoda; Insecta; Lepidoptera; Bombycidae.